Molecule: transfer RNA, 88 nt
Filed under: Clostridiaceae bacterium
Lineage: Bacteria; Bacillati; Bacillota; Clostridia; Eubacteriales; Clostridiaceae
Description: tRNA-Tyr
Rfam family: tRNA
About the family: Transfer RNA (tRNA) molecules are approximately 80 nucleotides in length.
Source: RNAcentral
GGAUAGAUAUUCAAAUUGGCUGAAGAAGGGUGAAUGUAAAUCACUUACAUAAAAAACACUGUAGGUUCAAGUCCUACUCUAUCCACCA